RNAcentral lists this non-coding RNA (45 nucleotides) under Schistosoma mattheei. The record is from RNAcentral. Lineage: Eukaryota; Metazoa; Platyhelminthes; Trematoda; Strigeidida; Schistosomatidae.
AUCCCGCUGACGAGUCCCGAAAAGGACGAAACGCGCGCCCUGUAU